This 2555-nucleotide long non-coding RNA is filed under the name Mus musculus (house mouse). RNAcentral's name for it is "long non-coding RNA chr2:37519746-37522301". The record is from RNAcentral. Lineage: Eukaryota; Metazoa; Chordata; Mammalia; Rodentia; Muridae.
UAUAUUUAGUGAAGUGGACAAUGGAGGAAACCCAAAAAAGGACACAGAUACUUUAUAAAAUAGGCAGAUAUGCCUCGGCUUUUCACCCUGAUGUUAAAAGACUGUUCUUUUAAAAAAGAAGACAUGUUUCUUUCCUUACACACACACACCAUUCUGGUAUUGCACCCUUGCAAACAAGGCAAGUAAAUUUUACUUGUAUAUCCAUAGCAGAAUUUAUUUGUUCUGUUUGCUGUGUUUUCUGAUUUUCCUAAAACUCACUAUCUAGACCAGACUGGACUGAACUCACAAAAAUCCACCUGUCUCUGCUGGGAUUAAAGAUCCACCCUACCCUACUUCCAGCCAAUUUUGAUUUUAUGUUUUAGACAUUGAUUUUAUUUUAACCUCAUAUGUGUUCUGCUUUAAGUUUUUUAAGUGACUGAGAAUUAUAAAACCAUUUAAACUUCAGAUUCCAAGUUCUAUUGGCAGGUGGGUCUCUUGAGUUCAAGGUCAGCUGCUGAGAGGAAGAGAGAAAUAGAUUCUGAGUUCUCCAAAUCUUGCUUGUUCUUUAUAUGUAGUAUUAGCCAAGUUUGGCUCUGAUGAUUCAGAAUUUAGAGCUCAUGCUGAAAAUGCAGGGUUAGAAAUAGCUUUGUUGGAUUUCAGCUUCAAGGAGAAAAUCUUUUCCCCUGGCUUCUGAAAAACAGUUUGUAAUACAUUUCUCCUUGCAUUGCACAGCUCUAUAGAUUUGGUUUGGAUUUGGUUUCAUUUCCACAUGGUGGCUCACAACCAUCGCUAAUGGGAUGCAAUGCCCUCUUCUGCUAGGUCUGAACACAGCUACAGUGUACUCAAAUAAAAUAAAUAAAUUUUUUUAAAAAAACUGUAAUAAGAGAGUUGACUUCACUCUUAGAAGGAGUUAAGUCCCUUUUGUUUUUUGUUCUGGGAUUCCAUUUUGUAACAGUGAAAAAGAAAAUUGUUCUGGUAAUAUCUAACCAAGCUGAUAUGUUAAUCUAAACACAGCUUUUUAAAUAAGUUUUUUUUUUUUUAAAGCAGAUGCUUAGUUUUACUAGUAUUAAUUUCUGGUUUUAUUAAAGACAUUUUUUAAAAGGGUAGAAUUUAUAUUGCUUUUUGGUGCACAGACUAAAGAAACUAAGUAAGGUAAAGGAAAACAUCCAGAUAGACCUUCUAUUACCCGAGGUACUAACAGACGUCUUUUCAGAUUGUCUCAUCUCCAUUGUGCUGUGUAAAUGUUAAGGCUUAAGGAAUCGAUUCUAUAGCUCCAUUCAUUGUCUGCAUGGCCAUUUUAUUUAUAAUUUGCUGGGUAAGAAGAAAUGAAGGGCAUAGUUACAUAAUCUUGGGGAGGGGGAGAUUCUCUGCAUCAUAGACUCAGUUGGUGUUUAAUCUUUUUAUUCUGCCACAUUUAUGGCAACAUUUGAUGACAUUUUGUUUGAAUACCAAUCUGACUAGUUCAGAGUCAGAAAAAAUGCAUACUUUUAUACCUCAGAUAGCUCAUUUAACUCUGGUAUUUCACUAGCGUCAGAAUACACAUAUGCUUUUAGAGAUAGUGUAAAAUUACUUUGUAGUAAAGUUUGAAGUAAGAACAUACUAAUUGUUUAACUUGUAAAAGAAUUAUGUUUUUAUACAGUGAUUUCAGUGAAAAUAUUUGUGCCACUUGGAAGUGAGGAAGUAGUUGCACUUGAGCCAGUACCCACCUCAAGACAGAGCACUGAGUAGCCCAAAUGGGUACUAGAAUUAUUCACAAGCUUGCUUCUUCAUACUCAAAGUCCUGUUUUGGACAGGUUUUCUUUUUAGCAGUAUUGCUGGAUAAAUUCUAUUUGAGUCUUUUAUAGUGGCUUUUCCUUUGUACUUAAAUAGUUUAUGUAAUAUUUUUAGGAUUGGAGAAACUUGAACUUUCAUACCAUAAAUGAACUAUCUCUUUGAGUGUAACAGCAGGUCUACAGGCUCAGAUGGUAGAAUGAUAUGGGAAGGGUUUCCUCGGCUUUUCAAAGAUCCAUUAGGAAAAUGUGCAGUGACUUUGUAGGAAAUAUCUUAAUUGCAUUGGCCAUGUGCUUCUGUAUUAAGAAGAUCUGUGAAAUACGUUACUGGCAAACCAGGGUUUGUUGUUAAAUGAUCAGUUUGGAAGACAUUUCAUGUGGGGAAAUAGUAGCAUUGUAAGUUUGUUUUUUGUUUUGUUUUGUUUUGUUUUGCUUUUGAAGCCUGUAAGUCAUGGAAUAAUGUAGUUUUGUAUCAUUUUCCUGUCUCAGCCAGCCUAAAGAAUAAUCAAAUGUAAAUAUACUAAAUUAUAUACAGUGUUGAUACAUAUUGUUGAGGUAACUGUUUCUUAUGACUGGCUGCAAGUGAGUCACUGGCAUUUCUUUAAAAAUUUGGGUGAUAAAAGGACAUCUGACAUAGUAACAGUGAACUUUGAACUGAGAAUGUAGAAACCUGAUUAGCUGGUUAGUAAAGUAGGAAAAGAAAAAGAUGCUAAAGGUUCUUUCAUCCAUCAUAGGGAUCCAUAGAACUGAUAACAAAUGUGGGUGUACCAUUUAAUGCUUCAUGAAUAAAAGUGAUUACUCUUAUAU